RNAcentral lists this ribosomal RNA (244 nucleotides) under uncultured Microbacterium sp. RNAcentral's name for it is "partial 16S ribosomal RNA". It matches the Rfam family "Bacterial small subunit ribosomal RNA", at positions 253 to 511 of the family's 1533-position model. The record is from RNAcentral. Lineage: Bacteria; Bacillati; Actinomycetota; Actinomycetes; Micrococcales; Microbacteriaceae.
CGGGGAGAUGACUCCCAGGCGUCGACGGGUAGCCGGCCUGAGAGGGUGACCGGCCACACUGGGACUGAGACACGGCCCAGACUCCUACGGGAGGCAGCAGUGGGGAAUAUUGCACAAUGGGCGGAAGCCUGAUGCAGCAACGCCGCGUGAGGGAUGACGGCCUUCGGGUUGUAAACCUCUUUUAGCAGGGAAGAAGCGAGAGUGACGGUACCUGCAGAAAAAGCACCGGCUAACUACGUGCCAG